This 441-nucleotide long non-coding RNA is filed under the name Pan troglodytes (chimpanzee). RNAcentral describes it as "long non-coding RNA NONPTRT010690". The record is from RNAcentral. Lineage: Eukaryota; Metazoa; Chordata; Mammalia; Primates; Hominidae.
UCGGGGCUCCGGAAAGCCGUCCGCGCCUCCAGCCGCACUUUCAGCGCACGCAGGACCUGCCGCGCCCGGUGGCCACACCCGUCCCUCUGCCGGGUGACGCUGCGGGAGAUCUUGCGCCCUGGGGCUCCGGAUCCAGUUCUGGAAGAAAUCCUUAUCUUUCCAACGCUGAGAUGCCUCUGCCGAAGAGUAGAAUGGGAGACAGAGAAACGGAGGCACAGAGAAGGAAGCGGCAGGUAAAGCUGUGAAGAACCUAACAAAUUUCAAGAUUGUAAGUGCCUUUUCCCAGGAUGCCAGCAAGUACUGAGGCAAGCCUGUAUUUUGAGCUGCGUCAAACCCUGUUGGAAUAAAAAAGGACAUUUCUAGGAGAUCAGUCUUCAAGAUUGGCCCCAGUUUCCCCAGAGUAGGAAGAGGCAGGAAGCCAGAGCACAUGUUCUCUCCAGA